AAUUGGAAAUUUCAAGCUGACGUACUAUUUUAAUAAAGAUGUCUCUGUUUAUAGUUUAAUAUAGACACAUGAUCAUCUAGGGGUAAGGUAGUUGGCUGUGACACAACGAAAUGGGCGUAAGCAAACUUAAACACACAUGGGGGUCUUGCACAGUCGUACUGCAUUUAUAAGAAUGAUAUGUAUUUUAGUAUAUUACUUUAACAUUAGUUCUUUCAAAAUGGCAAACAAAAUAUAUCAAUUUAAAUUAAUGAAUUAAAAUGAAUAUCCUUUGCAAUGAACUAUGAUGCGCUGAUAUAAAAAUGAUAAGUACCUUUUGUUACUCGCUACUCACUUUUUAUAACUCGAUACUCACUUUUUAUAACUCGCUACUCGCUUUUUAUAACUCGAUACUCGGUUUUUGUUACUCGCUACUCACUUUUUGUUACUCGCUACUCACUUUUUAUAACUCACUACUCACUUUUUUUGCACUCGCUACUCACUUUUUAUAACUCGCUACUCACUUUUUGUUACUCGCUACUCACUUUUUAUAACUCGAUACUCACUUUUAUAACUCGCUAACUCACUUUACUCGCUACUCGCUUUUUGUAACUCGAUACUCACUUUUUAUAGCUCGAUACUCACUUUUUGUUACUCGAUACUUGAUACUCGACAAAAAGAAAUCCUCGUUUUCCUUACGUAAAUCCUCUAUGAUGUCACGAAGUAUGGUCUCCAAAGGACAAUCACUCCUAUAAGGAUUCAAUAUAGAGAGUGAGAGGUUUGGCUAGCUAUAAAAUCACGUUAAAUCCACCAUUUUCUACAUAAGAAAAUGUCGUACCAAGUUAGGAAUAUGACAGUUGUUAUCCAUUCGUUUGAUGUGUUUGAGCUUUUGAUUUUACCAUUUGAAUACGGACUUUACGUUUUAAAUAAUCCUCGGAGUUCGGUACUUUUGUUAUAUUAAUUUACUUUUUAUUUCCGCCAUAUUGAUUGAUAUGUAUAUCUUUAAAAAUACCUUGGCUCACACUGAACAGCAAGCUAUACAGGGCACCAAAAAAUUGUAUAGUGUAAAACCAUUCAAACGGGAAAACCAAGAUGGUGAGUCGUGUAAGUAAGGGUGAUACUGACAAAUGUAACGCAGUGUGUAUGUUGAUACUGCUGAAUAUUGAAAUCAUCAUAAAAGCAUUCAUAAACAAUGACACAAAGAUGUCACUGACAGGGAAAAUCAAAAUAAAGUCAUAGGCACAAAUGACAAGCAUUCUUACUACAACAAUCAAUAAUUAUAAACCUAGAUAAUGGCAGAUCUUGGUUGUUUCUGUUCUAAUUCACAACUUUAUAGACUAAAGACAAUAUUAAGCUUGACAGUGUACCUGGAAAUGGUUGAAUAGGAAAAGGAGAUAUGGAGUAUACGUCAAUGUUACACCCAUAGGGUGACUGUGGAAUAAAAAUACGGUCAACAUUAGUCUUCCUCCGCCAACUGGCAGUAAAACCCUCGCCAAAGUGGGGCGUCGUUUUGGCUGUGUGGGAUGAACAAGCUACACAGCAAAGUGCGGUCAGAAUGGGGACGUCUCUGAGGGGGACGUUGUAUCGGCUGCCUCAUGUAAAGUGCAAUGCAAUUUUAACAUCAAGACCCAUUGCAAAAACUAGUUGAUCGGUACGUAGCCAGGCUUAAGAUCUGUCCCUAUCCAAUAUACCCACCUUUUCCAUUGGUCGUCCAGCUUCCCUAGAACCUUAUCCGGGCGGCUUCUAUAGUAAGACCUGACUAUUGUAUUUAUUGUGUUGUUCUCGUUCUGAACAUGAAUGAAAUAUUUGUCACUGGACGGUAAGUAAACAACAAUCAAUGAUACAGCAAUCCAACGACAAGAAAAACAAAGACAUCCAGAGAGCAAAAGACAACAUAUACGUGACAUUACCACGCUAGUCCACAAAAGCUGUGAAUAAAUUGAUAGAAACAACCAAAGAUCUACCACCAACAUCAAAGGAAAAGAAGUCUGUAGGUUGCUCUAUAUGAACCUUUUAUGGUAUGUUCAUUCGUUGGAUAGCUGUCACAUCCAGUGGCGGAUCCAAAAGGGGGGGGGGGUUCCGGGGUUUGCAUGGAACCCCCCUUUUUUUGGACGAUCAAUGCAUUUGAACCCCCCUUUUAAAAAUGGUUGGAUUUUAAAAUGGCUGGAUCCGCCACUGACAUCAUAUUUACUACAAGUAUAGAUCUACAUAAUAUAUCAGAAGAACUUGACAUAAGAUAACAUGUAUUUCUCCAGAAAACGAUGAUACAUGUACAAAAUUUAAGAGAUGCACUAACUUUGCAAACACACCUGAAGCACAGGGACUCGGUUAGCAGAUUGAAUUUUUUCAGUAUACGGAUAUGGACAGUAAACUGCACAUUGCUAGAAAACAAACAGGAAAUACUAAUUAAAAUAUAAAAAACAUUGAUUAACAAAAUUUUAAUCUGCUAACCGAGUCCCUGUGACCUGAAGCAGCUAGCAAGAAUAGGGACUCAAAAGGAAGAGGAAGGAAUCAUUACUGGAAGGAUGUAACAAUCUCUCUUCAUAAGAAACAAGUUGUAGGAACACAAUAUUAGGUCAUGCAGAGACCACCAUGGAGAGAUAGGUUGCCAAACAUUUCACGGUGACCACUUGACCAGCAAAAUAAAACUGAAGAUUAAUUAUCUGAUUAUGUUCCAUUUACUAGACGGAUAUAGAUAUAAGAAGAUGUGGUAAGAUUGCUAUUGAAAUAUGUUCACCUUGCUAGCAGUAAUAUUGUCAAUUGACCAUAUAUCUUGUAAAUACUUAUAUGUUGGCAUUGCACAUGGUCAUGUUUUUCUGAAGAUCUUUGUCCAUUGGAUGUGUACUGAUUCAUAUUUUAGUCUGAGAAACAUGAAUUAUUUAUUAGUUGUAAAUGGAUUUGAACUAGCUUUUAGCAGCUGUAAGUACUCUUAAAUCGGAUUUUUUUUUGUCCUUUAUGUUUAAUAAGAUAGUUGUCUUUUGAGCUUUGUGUCAAUCUGAUGAGUCGAGCCUUUUUGAAUUGAUGUAAAGUUAAUUUUUGAUGCAUUCACAAAUGUAACUUUAGUCACAUCUGUUAAAUAAUUGAGGAAGUCCAUUGAAUUUGAUUGAAAAUUUACUUUAUCUUUGCUGAGGUCAAAUAAGCUAGCUGACUUUGUUUUCAAAUUUUCUUUUUCUGUACUGAGGUCCAAUAAGAUCUGACUGAUUCAAAAUUUCCUUUUAAUAUCUGUGUGAGAUAUUUCACUUUUAAAUGUUUAUCAUAAAAAUUCGACAUGUUCAUUUAAAAGUUGGAUAUAGUGUGAUAAUAAGUUUAGUUAUGGAAUUAUGAUUGAUAUAUUUUACAGAAUGCUGAGCUUGGAGGUGUCCCACAUUUUGAGCAUGAUGAGAAUCUAUUUUUAGAAAAGAGGGAACAAAUGUUUUACAAUGUUGAAGACCGCAAUAGAGUGGAGUCCAAAUACCCAGUUCGUGAUCGUAGCAAACUCCUCCGCCCAGAUUUUCACCACGAGACUUCAAAAUAUCAGAGCGAAUUAAUGUUUAGACGGGAUGAGGACUAUGUUAUGAAGGCUUGAUCCCCUGUGAUUUACCACUUAAGACAUCAGUAUUAUUGCACCAUGUUUUGUUAUUCUAGUACUGUAAUGUCUUGCCAUUUGUUGAGCAAGACAUUUUUUUAUUGCCAACAGCUGUAUACAGUGUUGUGUUUUUAUCAUUUUUACAUUUUGGCCAUCUUUUUCAACCAAAUUUUGUUACAAACUAUAUUCUCACUAGGGCUUUCAAUAAAUUGGAGAAAGGGAUUUCCUUUAUUUUAAAUUCACACAUACAAGUAUCAUUCACUUCAAAUUAGUGCUUAACAGUAUUAGGUACAGAUAUUUUUUUAUCACAUUUAUUCUUGUACAUUGUUGUUUUUGUAAAAUGUCUAUUUAUACAUAUAUAUAAUUUUUGUUUUGUACCUUUUAUGAUACUUGUUGGAUUUGUGUCUGCAUUUCUAUUUCUUGAUUUUAAAAAAUGUAA
Molecule: long non-coding RNA, 3980 nt
Filed under: Mytilus galloprovincialis (Mediterranean mussel)
Lineage: Eukaryota; Metazoa; Mollusca; Bivalvia; Mytilida; Mytilidae
Source: RNAcentral